This 701-nucleotide ribosomal RNA is filed under the name Mortierella alpina. RNAcentral describes it as "eukaryotic LSU rRNA". It matches the Rfam family "Eukaryotic large subunit ribosomal RNA", at positions 92 to 649 of the family's 3401-position model. The record is from RNAcentral. Lineage: Eukaryota; Fungi; Mortierellomycota; Mortierellomycetes; Mortierellales; Mortierellaceae.
AGUGAAGCGGGAUGAGCUCAAAUUUAAAAUCUGGCUGGUUUACUAGUCCGAAUUGUAGUUUAAAGAAGCGUUUUCGGUGGCAGCCUGGGUAUAAAUCCUUUGGAACAGGGUAUCAUAGAGGGUGAGAAUCCCGUCUUUGACUCAGUGCAUGCUACUAUGUGAUACGUUUUCAAAGAGUCGAGUUGUUUGGGAAUGCAGCUCAAAAUGGGUGGUAAAUUUCAUCUAAGGCUAAAUAUUGGCGAGAGACCGAUAGCGAACAAGUACCGUGAGGGAAAGAUGAAAAGAACUUUGAAAAGAGAGUUAAACAGUGCGUGAAAUUGUUGAAAGGGAAACGCUUGACACCAGUCAUGCGAGCGGAAAAUCAGUCUUUUGCAGUGGGGAGUUGUGUGGGUUCGGACCGCAAGGCCGGCCUGUGCUGCAUCUCUGCUGUAAGUGAUGCACUUUUUCGUUUGCAGGCCAACAUCAGUUUCUUCUGCUGGACAAAACUCUUGAGAAGGUAGCAGCUUAGGCUGUGUUAUAGCUCUUGAGCGAUACAGUGGAGGGGACUGAGGUUUUCGCAGCGCGUGCUCUCGGGCAAGGCUGAUUGGGUGCUAUGGGAUCGUUCGGUGUACAAUGCAUGCAUUUUGCGCCGUGUCUUUUCUAUACUCGCUCAACUCGGCUCUUCCGCGCUUAGGAUGUUGGCUUAAUGGUUUUAAUCGACC